Molecule: long non-coding RNA, 1195 nt
Filed under: Astyanax mexicanus (Mexican tetra)
Lineage: Eukaryota; Metazoa; Chordata; Actinopteri; Characiformes; Acestrorhamphidae
Description: lncRNA (ENSAMXG00005002945.1)
Source: RNAcentral
AGCUAGCUAGUUAUUUUUUUAUUUAAGUAGGUAGUGAGCUAGCUAGUUAGUUAUUUAGUUAAGUAGGUAGUGAGCUAGCUAGUUAUUUUUUUAUUUAAGUAGGUAGUGAGCUAGCUAGUUAGUUAUUUAGUUAAGUAGGUAGUGAGCUAGCUAGUUAUUUUUUCAUUUAAGUAGGUAGUGAGCUAGCUAGUUAUUUUUUUAUUUACAUAGGUAGUGAGCUAGCUAGUUAGUUAUUUAGUUAAGUAGGUAGUGAGCUAGCUAGUUAUUUUUUUAUUUACAUAGGUAGUGAGCUAGCUAGUUAGUUAUUUAGUUAAUUAGUUAGCCAGUUAGUCAGUCAGCAUCCUGAAGUGAAAAUUGGAAGACAGCAAGGUGUCUAACAUCCACCAGCUCCUUGAUUUUAUGUGAGGCGUGUACUCACAUUCAUCCAUCCAUCUCCCUAUUCUCCCUAGUUUUACCCAACAAUAAAACUAGUUACAGGUUUAAUUUUUGCAUAAAUCCUCACUCUGCUGAUUCAACCCUUUCAGAGACGAUUGUGUGUGUAUGUGUGUGUGUGCGCGAGUGUGAUCUAGCAGAUGCCUUCAGCCUGCCUCGCUCUCCCUAAAAGGACCGGCACUCCUCCGCUCCCCGACCGCGGCCCAGGCAACCGUUGCCACGGCAACCACGCUGAGAUGGCAUCCUCUGACUCCAGCUGACUGACCCCAUGGACACCAUCAAACCUGCUGCAUCUUCGCCCAUACUCUCUCUCCAUUCUCCAGUGAGAAUAGCAGGCCCACACGCACCGAGGCGCAGAUGUGUCGUCUGUGACCUUUCGAUGUGGCGGUCAAGGAUUGUCGGCGAGUGGAGUGUCUUGUCACCUGCUAGAGAAUCUAACACACUUCGCUUGAUCAGCACAACAUACUACUGUCAUGUUGUCCUUGGGGCAGGAUGGCGAGUGUGAGUUGUGAGAGUGCUAGUGAACGCUAAUAGCCUCUGACAGACACGACCACAGCCUUCUGCUGGUCAAUGCCUGAUCUCCUCUGCAGCGCGGCGAGGCUGUGCUGAUGCUACGCCUCGGCGGGCGGGUGCAGACAGGGAGCUUUCAACAUCAGACACUGUUCAACACCCUGGAUAAAGGGUGUCAUCACAAACACACAAACACACACACACUUCUUUAUGUGUGAAUACUGAAGUCUGUGAAGGAACAUGAAAGAAAUUA